AUUGAACGCUGGCGGAUUGCUUUACACAUGCAAGUCGAACGGCAGCACGGACUUCGGUCUGGUGGCGAGUGGCGAACGGGUGAGUAACAUAUCGGAACGUAUCCAAUAAUGGGGGAUAACUAAUCGAAAGGUUGGCUAAUACCGCGUACGCCCUACGGGGGAAAGCUAGGGACCUUCGGGCCUGGCGUUAAUGGAGCGGCCGAUAUCUGAUUAGCUAGUUGGUGGGGUAAAGGCCCACCAAGGCGACGAUCAGUAGCUGGUCUGAGAGGACGACCAGCCACACUGGAACUGAGACACGGUCCAGACUCCUACGGGAGGCAGCAGUGGGGAAUUUUGGACAAUGGGCGCAAGCCUGAUCCAGCCAUUCCGCGUGAGUGAAGAAGGCCUUCGGGUUGUAAAGCUCUUUCGCAAGGGAAGAAAACUUAGCCUCUAACAUAGGCUGAGGUUGACGGUACCUUGAUAAGAAGCACCGGCUAACUACGUGCCAGCAGCCGCCGUAA
Molecule: ribosomal RNA, 500 nt
Filed under: uncultured bacterium
Lineage: Bacteria
Description: partial 16S ribosomal RNA
Rfam family: Bacterial small subunit ribosomal RNA
Source: RNAcentral